AUGGCGGACCACCAGCAGCUGCUCCCGACGUUGACGUGCAGGUGCAGCAACUGCGUCACCGAGCGCGCCGUCAUCUUCUGCAUCGCCGACGGCGCCAGGCUCUGCCUCGAGUGCGACGGCGCCGUGCACGGCGCCAGCGAGCUCGCGGGCCUCCACUCGCGCGCCCCGCUCUGCGACGGCUGCUGCGCCGCGCCCGCCGCGCUCCGCUACCAAUUCGGCGCCCACUGGGCCACGCUCUGCACCGGCUGCGCCGACGGCCGCGGCGGCGCCUCCCUCGUGGAGGUUUACACCGGCUGCCCCGCGCCCGCCGAGGUCCUCCGCACCCUCUCCGUCGACGCGCCGUCGUCGUCGUCGCAGGAGGACUUCGACGCCUGGCUCGCCGACAACCUCCCCCAAAUCCUACAGGAUGUUCAGUUUGAUUGUGUGAUACAUUGUGUGUGA
Molecule: ribosomal RNA, 441 nt
Filed under: Triticum aestivum (bread wheat)
Lineage: Eukaryota; Viridiplantae; Streptophyta; Magnoliopsida; Poales; Poaceae
Description: partial small subunit ribosomal RNA
Source: RNAcentral